AAAGUCGUAACAAGGUCUCCGUUGGUGAACCAGCGGAGGGAUCAUUACCGAGUUUACACUCCCAACCCUUUGUGAACCUUACCUACCGUUGCUUCGGCGGACCGCCCCGGGCGCUGCGUGCCCCGGACCCAGGCGCCCGCCGGGGACCACCCAAACCCUGUUUUUGUUUUCAAAACAUGUGUAUCUUCUGAGCGAGCCGAAAGGCGCAAAAAAAACAAUCAAAACUUUCAACAACGGAUCUCUUGGUUCUG
RNAcentral lists this unclassified non-coding RNA (251 nucleotides) under Ascomycota sp. Its description in RNAcentral is "partial contains small subunit ribosomal RNA, internal transcribed spacer 1, and 5.8S ribosomal RNA". The stretch from base 1 to 47 matches the Rfam family "Eukaryotic small subunit ribosomal RNA", at positions 1785 to 1831 of the family's 1831-position model. Lineage: Eukaryota; Fungi; Ascomycota. The record is from RNAcentral. RNAcentral also lists the same sequence under 1 other name.